This 1360-nucleotide ribosomal RNA is filed under the name uncultured Bacteroidota bacterium. RNAcentral's name for it is "bacterial SSU rRNA". It matches the Rfam family "Bacterial small subunit ribosomal RNA", at positions 109 to 1482 of the family's 1533-position model. The record is from RNAcentral. Lineage: Bacteria; Pseudomonadati; Bacteroidota.
CGUAACGCGUAUAGAAUCUGCCUUAUACAGAGGGAUAGCCCAGAGAAAUUUGGAUUAAUACCUCAUAGUAUUGUUUAAUCGCAUGAUUUAACAAUUAAAACUCCGGUGGUAUAAGAUGAGUAUGCGUCCCAUUAGAUAGUUGGUGAGGUAACGGCUCACCAAGUCUACGAUGGGUAGGGGUUCUGAGAGGAUGAUCCCCCACACUGGUACUGAGACACGGACCAGACUCCUACGGGAGGCAGCAGUGAGGAAUAUUGGUCAAUGGACGCAAGUCUGAACCAGCCAUGCCGCGUGCAGGAUGACGGCCCUAUGGGUUGUAAACUGCUUUUCUAUGUGAAGAACUAUCGGUACGAGUACCGGUUUGCCUGUAGCAUAGGAAUAAGGACCGGCUAACUCCGUGCCAGCAGCCGCGGUAAUACGGAGGGUCCGAGCGUUAUCCGGAUUCAUUGGGUUUAAAGGGUGCGUAGGCGGCCUCGUAAGUCAGUAGUGAAAGCCGACAGCUUAACUGUCGAAGUGCUAUUGAAACUGCGGGGCUAGAAUUCUGAUGGAGUGGGCGGAAUGUGUUGUGUAGCGGUGAAAUGCAUAGAUAUAACACAGAACACCGAUCGCGAAGGCAGCUCACUAAGGAGACAUUGACGCUGAUGCACGAAAGCGUGGGGAGCGAACAGGAUUAGAUACCCUGGUAGUCCACGCCGUAAACGAUGAUAACUGGUUGUCGACGAUACACAGUCGGUGGCUAAGCGAAAGUAUUAAGUUAUCCACCUGGGGAGUACGAUCGCAAGGUUGAAACUCAAAGGAAUUGACGGGGGCCCGCACAAGCGGUGGAGCAUGUGGUUUAAUUCGAUGAUACGCGAGGAACCUUACCUGGGCUCAAACGUAAUUUGACGUAUUUGGAAACAGAUAUUUCUUCGGACAAAUUACGAGGUGCUGCAUGGUUGUCGUCAGCUCGUGCCGUGAGGUGUCGGGUUAAGUCCCAUAACGAGCGCAACCCCUAUCCUUAGUUGCCAGCACAUAAUGGUGGGGACUCUGAGGAAACUGCCGGCGCAAGCCGCGAGGAAGGUGGGGAUGACGUCAAAUCAGCACGGCCCUUAUGUCCAGGGCUACACACGUGCUACAAUGGUAAGUACAGAGGGCAGCUACCUGGUGACAGGAUGCGAAUCUCGAAAGCUUAUCUCAGUUCGGAUCGAAGUCUGCAACUCGACUUCGUGAAGUUGGAAUCGCUAGUAAUCGCGUAUCAGCCAUGACGCGGUGAAUACGUUCCCGGGCCUUGUACACACCGCCCGUCAAGCCAUGGAAGCUGGGGGUGCCUAAAGUCCGUGACCGCAAGGAGCGGCCUAGGGUAAAACUGGUAACUAGGGCU